UGAAUAUUCAUUGUUCUUUAUUAUUAAAGCAAAGUUAUCAUAUAAUUCCAUCAACAUACAGCUGAUCAAUUAUGAACUACAUAGUAUUUUGUUUUCUACAUACUAACUUCUGAUAAUAUAAACUCUUCAUAAACACUCCUGCUUUAGACCACAUUCCCGCGAUUUGUAGCUGUCCUAAUGAUCAUAAACAGACCUGUCAACACAAAAACAGUAAAAUGUCAUGCAUCUUUACCGAGAUAUUUGGUUGGUCAAUAUCCUCGAUUACUAGUUGACAAGAUUAUUAUUUACUAAUAGCUUUUAGACUUGUAAAAAAAGUGGUUUAUGGACUAAUAACUUGUUUUCAGCUUAUAUUUGAAAUCUUGGUCAGUUGAAAAUUAUUUGAAUGAUUUAGAAUGGUUUUGUAUGAACAAAUUUUUGAAACCAUGCUUAAAUAUGGCAAACAACGACAUUCCUCAGAAGUUGAAGUUCACGGUCCUCAUCAUCCUUACAACUUAAAAAUGAUCUAAUCGGUAUUAGUUCGACAAAACAACAAAAACUAAUUUGAAUAGAGUUCUAAGUCACAUUAUUUUUCCGUUAUUUUUGUCGAGUCAACAAUGAAUUAGUCAUCGUCUUAGCCUCAGGGAUAAGAAAGACCCCGAGCUUCUGCUUGUCGUUAGAGUUUCAAACAAUUUUCAAGGAUUGAUCACUACUGAUGAAGCACAGACACAAACAUCGGACAUGACAUAAAUCAUGACACACCAACACCAAUAAUAAUUUGAGCAAAUUUUACAAUUCAACGUAAUCAUAAACGUCAGUGUCAGACACCGAUGCGUGUGCAACACCAAGAUCGAGGAGUGUCUGUGUUUCAUAGAUCACCACCUAUCAAAGUAAUCAAUAGUAAAAAAAUUCCCUAGCUAAUUGCAUGCUAUACUAGAAGAAGUGAAGAACAUACAUGAUCCAACAACAACAAAGACACAAAAGCCAAUCAGAGCUAGGCCAGUUGAGAAGUUAAAACCCUUCUUUCCUGAUCCUUUCUUUGUAAGUUUCCCUUCAAACCUUGCCACUUUCCUGUCUGCUACACGUCUUGAUGUAGUCUAUAAUAUAAUCCAACAAAGUUACAUCAAACACAACAAUAAUCACCAAAAAUACAAGUCAUAAAUCACAAUUAACUCAGCUCAAUAUAAGAGAAAUCAUAACCAUCAAGCAUGUAAUAGACAACAAGAGACUAAGUGCAUAUUUGACAUAACAGUUCUUUUACCGAAUUCACUCUGAGUCACCUUAGUUCCGUAAAAUCACGGCAGAUCACUACGAUUUUGGGAAAACCACGGUAAUACCAAACAUGCUUUAAUUUUUUCCUGAUCGAACCAAAGAGACUCAAUUAUCUAUCAAAUUUUGACGGAUCAAACCAAAGAGACUUGAUUAUCUAUCAAGCGUGACCAUAUUAAUUGAUGUAACAAUUUGAAACCUCGUGGACAUGAUAUCGAUAAAAUGUAUUAAAAAAAUAUAAAAUCAAAACAAUGCUAUUAUAAUACACUUUUAUGCUGAAAAGCUAGGAUUUUUUUUUUAUCAAUUCUUUUAAGAUUUUUCAUAAGCAUGCCACGAAAACAGCUUAACAAAAUUAAGUAGGUGUCAGUAGCAUUAAAAGCAACACUUGGUCAUAAAAAAAAACAUGAUCACAAGAAUUCAUGUAAAUUUUUUUUAUCAUCAUCAUAAGGCACAAAUAAUUAAAAAUAAAAAGGAUGAGAUAUAUAAAACUUUACCAUAGUUUAUGAACCCAACAACAAUGACAACCCUUUGGACAGAAGAAUGCAGUUUUUUAAGAUAUAAAAAAAUGUAAUAAAACCAAAUGCAAGAGUUUCACAAUGUUGAGUGUAGC
Molecule: long non-coding RNA, 1855 nt
Filed under: Trifolium pratense (red clover)
Lineage: Eukaryota; Viridiplantae; Streptophyta; Magnoliopsida; Fabales; Fabaceae
Description: long non-coding RNA (TPRA_LNC007520)
Source: RNAcentral